This 506-nucleotide ribosomal RNA is filed under the name uncultured bacterium. RNAcentral's name for it is "partial 16S ribosomal RNA". It matches the Rfam family "Bacterial small subunit ribosomal RNA", at positions 29 to 523 of the family's 1533-position model. The record is from RNAcentral.
AGUGAACGCUGGCGGUAGGCCUAACACAUGCAAGUCGAACGGCAGCACAGGAGAGCUUGCUCUCUGGGUGGCGAGUGGCGGACGGGUGAGGAAUACAUCGGAAUCUACUCUGUCGUGGGGGAUAACGUAGGGAAACUUACGCUAAUACCGCAUACGACCUACGGGUGAAAGCAGGGGACCUUCGGGCCUUGCGCGAUUGAAUGAGCCGAUGUCGGAUUAGCUAGUUGGCGGGGUAAAGGCCCCCCAAGGCGACGAUCCGUAGCUGGUCUGAGAGGAUGAUCAGCCAGACGGGAACUGAGACACGGUCCAUACUCCGACGGGAGGCGGCAGUGGGGAAUAUUGGACAAUGGGCGCAAGCCUGAUCCAGCCAUACCUCGUGGGUGAAGAAGGCCUUCGGGUUGUAAAGCCCUUUUGUUGGGAAAGAAAUCCAGCUGGCUAAUACCCGGUUGGGAUGACGGUACCCAAAGAAUAAGCACCGGCUAACUUCGUGCCAGCCGCCGCCGUAA